Molecule: long non-coding RNA, 2471 nt
Organism: Macaca fascicularis (crab-eating macaque)
Lineage: Eukaryota; Metazoa; Chordata; Mammalia; Primates; Cercopithecidae
Source: Ensembl
UUUUUUGUUUUUUUUUUUUUAAUUUUUAUUAUACUUUAAGUUCUAGGCUACAUGUGCACAAUGUGCAGGUUUGUUACAUAUGUAUACAUGUGCCAUGUUGGUGUGCUGCAUCCAUUAACUCAUCAUUUACAUUAGAUAUAUCUCCUAAUGCUAUCCCUCCCUGCUCCCCCCACCCCACAACAGGCCCCGGUGUGUGAUGUUCCCCUUCCUGUGUCCAAGUGUUCCCAUUGUUCAAUUCCCACCUAUGAGUAAGAACAUGUGGUGUUUGGUUUUCAGUUCUUGCGAUAGUUUGCUGAGAACAAUGGUUUCCAGCUUUAUCCAUGUCCCUACAAAGGACACGAACUCAUCCUUUUUUAUGGCUGCCUAGUAUUCCAUGGUGUAUAUGUGCCACAUUUUCUUAAUCCAGUCUGUCACUGAUGGACAUUUGGGUUGGUUCCAAGUCUUUGUUAUUGUGAAUGGUGCUGCAAUAAACAUACAUGUGCCACUAUGAAGACACUUUUGCUGUGGUUUGAAUGUGUCUCCCAAUGUUCACGUGUUGGAAAUUUAAUCCUUGAUGCCACAAUGUUGAGAGGUGGGGCCUUUGGUAGGUGAUUAGGUCGUGAGUGCUCUGCAUGAAUGGAUUAAUGGAAUGGGUGAGUUAUUGCAGGAGUGGACUCUUGUAAAAGGAUGAGUUCAACCUGUUUUCCUCCCAACAUCCCACCACCUUCCACCAUGGGAUGAUGCAGCCAAGAGACCACUGCCAGAUGCAGGCCCUCAACCUUGGACUUCCCAACCUCCAGAACUGUAAGAACUAAACCUCCCAGGUACUCUGUUAUAGCAGCACAGCACUGACUAAGACAACCUGUAGGAGAAUGUCAAAACCUAAUUUGGUUUAUUUGGUAUGUUGAAUUGCAUGAAAAGUCAUUGUUAAAUAAGAAGGGGUGUGUAACCUUCUUUAGGUUGCAUUUAUAUAGGUAAAUCAUCUUAAUGUAACUCUUUCAGAAGUUGUGCAGAGAUAUGGACAACUGUCAGUGCCUGCAAUGGCCAUGUUUUAUCCAGUUCAACAUUAUCAGUCACAAUUUCAAUUGUUAUUAUUAAAAAAAGUAUUUUGUCAAAUGAAUUCUCAUCAGAUAUCUAACCAUACCCAUUUAAAAUCUUUUGUUAUUCACAGAUGGUUUUGUGUUACUCAGAUUCUUCCCUGAAAGCAUUUGCAAUCAGGUGUAGGCCAGAAUGAUUUGUGAUGGCAUCGCCUGAAAAACUUUGAGACCUGUAUUAGUCAGGAUUCUCUAGAGAGACAGAACCAAGAGGAGAGAGAGAUAAGAGGGGAUUUUUUUUAAGGGAAAUUGCUCACAUAAUUAUGGAAGCUGAGAAGUCCCACAACAGGCUGUCUGCAAGCUGGAGACUGAGGGAAGCCAGUGGUAUGGCUCAGCUCAAGUCUGAAAGUCCUAGAACCAGAGAAGCUGAUGGUGUAACUCUCAGUCUGAGUCCAAAGGCCAGAGAACCUAAAGCUUUGAUGUCCCAGGGCAGGAGAAGAAAGAUGUCCCAGCUCCAGAAGAGACAGAGAGAAUCUGCCUUCCCUCUGCCUUUUUGCUCUUUCUGGGCCCUCAAUGGCUUGGAUGAUGACAUCCACAUUGGUGAGAGGAGGUCUCCCUUAUUCAGUCCACUGAUUCAAAUGCCAGUCCCUUCCAGAAAAACCUCACCGACAUACCCAGAAAUAACACUUUACCAGCUAUCUGGGUAUCCCUUAAUCCAGUCAAGUUGACACCUAAAAUUGACCAUUACAAGACCAUGCUGGGCUGAAUCAGAAUUUUUAGAGCUCUUCUGGAGAAGCUGAUAGUUCAUGAAACUGCUAUCUCAAGGUCACACAGAGCAAGUUUUAACCACAUGGGACUGAAUGAACGGAUAAAAGAUGAUUAUGGUUAUUGUCUGGAACACUGAUGAUCCUUUACUGUUCUCUUUUCUGGACAUAAGAAACCCCUUUCUCUUUUCUCUUAAGCUAUUGUACUUUUGUAAACAGAAAUGAAACAUUUAUUGUUUCUCCCCUCCUGAUUGCUCCCGGAUUGGAAAACUCUAAUCGAGUAUUUUUGUUUUCAUGGCAACACAGUUAUUUGCAUGCGUUCAAUAAGACUAUGUUUUACUUGUAACAGGAUACAUUGGAUAUAUUACCAAGGCUUUUACUGGAAUGUCACAUGUGAAAAUCUGCAUAGAAUCUGAGGUGACCAGAUAGCUUUAGGGAAGUAAGGCUAACUCCAAAGAGCCAAUGCUUACAGAGUCCACUUGGAAAAACCAUCCUGGUACCUCAAUUACAGGAUUCCCAGCCUUGCAGGUAAUUAAGGAAAGUCACUUCCUGGCAGAUUCAGGAAACUUAAGAUAUCUUGGGGACCUCUGGUAGAGAAGAAUUCACCCAAAUCUAUAGAUACUGCAAGCAAAGUCUGGGUGAGCUCCUGAAUUGAAGAAUCUUCCUUGAAGAUGUUUCCUUGAAGAAGCUUCAA